RNAcentral lists this ribosomal RNA (290 nucleotides) under Staphylococcus pseudintermedius. RNAcentral's name for it is "partial 23S ribosomal RNA". It matches the Rfam family "Bacterial large subunit ribosomal RNA", at positions 1284 to 1571 of the family's 2925-position model. Lineage: Bacteria; Bacillati; Bacillota; Bacilli; Caryophanales; Staphylococcaceae. The record is from RNAcentral.
AGAAGUGAGAAUGCCGGUGUGAGUAGCGAAAGACGGGUGAGAAUCCCGUCCACCGAUUGACUAAGGUUUCCAGAGGAAGGCUCGUCCGCUCUGGGUUAGUCGGGUCCUAAGCUGAGGCCGACAGGCGUAGGCGAUGGAUAACAGGUUGAUAUUCCUGUACCACCAUUAUUCGUUUUAAGCGAUGGGGGGACGCAGUAGGAUAGGCGAAGCGUGCUGUUGGAGUGCACGUCCAAGCAGUGAGAUUGAGUGUUAGGCAAAUCCGGCACUCUUAAGAUUGAGCUGUGAUGGGG